GCUUGACGUGGAGAUCUGGAGGGAUGUGCAGGUGAGAGCGGGAGCGUCUAGGACGGCCAAGGUGGACCCUGGGCUGGGUGGGAACCCUGAGCCUGUAGAAGACGAUCUACUACGGACAGGUGCUGAAGAAUUCAGCGGACCUCCAGACCAAUGCCUGUGUCACCGCAGCCAGGCCAGUCCCCAAGCACAUCCAGGAGGCCCUGCGGAAUGUACACGAAGAAGUAGCCUUGAGGAUACAUUCACACUCUUGCACCUGACAUUCAAGACUGUCCACAGUUUGGCCCUUCCUAACCAGCCUUGGCUCCCUCUUGAUGGAUCUUGGAUGUGACCGGUGCCACUGU
Galeopterus variegatus (Sunda flying lemur) is the source of this 341-nucleotide long non-coding RNA. RefSeq lists it as uncharacterized. NCBI's taxonomy places the organism in Eukaryota, Metazoa, Chordata, Mammalia, Dermoptera, Cynocephalidae. The record is from RefSeq and is a predicted model, not a curated record. The transcript is spliced from 3 exons.